Long non-coding RNA from Juglans microcarpa x Juglans regia, 680 nucleotides. RefSeq lists it as uncharacterized. The transcript has 2 exons. The record is from RefSeq and is a predicted model, not a curated record. Lineage: Eukaryota; Viridiplantae; Streptophyta; Magnoliopsida; Fagales; Juglandaceae.
UUAUCAAAUGACGAAAGCAUCCCACUCCCUUAGGCCUUAGCUUACUAUGCGCACGUACGCGUCAAGGUCAAGAUGCACUUGGAAUGGCCUAUAAAUAGGAGUGUAGGGAAAGGGUAUUUGCACAUACAGAUCAUCAAUCCAACCAACAAUCCUAAAAUGAAGGCUAUCGUUGUCAGUUGCAUUCUGCUGGCUUCCCUUCUUUUCUCGUCCCCUUCAAUUAUUGUGGCUCGCGAGCUGGCUGAUCGGGAUGGAAUUCCUCCCGCAAGCAAGAAUCCCAACAAGCCAGCAAUACCAUCAUGCGGAAGGCCUGGCAAUCCUCAAUAUAGUUCUUGCAUACGAAACCCAAAGCGGCUCAUCAAGUGUGAUCCAAAAAGUAGCAAAUAUACGCGUAAUUGCAAGCCACCUCAAGGACCUUGAAUCAGUAGUACUACUUAAUUAUUGUGGUGUGGUGAAAGUAUGAAUAAAUAGCACUACUAAAGUUACGUGAAGUAGUGCUCAUGUAAUGCUUUGAGAAUAAAUAUUAAUAUUUUAAUGGAGCUGGAUCGAUCGAGCUAGCUUCCUUUGCAGUUUGCAGUAUGGAAACAUAUAUGUAAAGUAUGCUGCAUCUUAAUAUGCUGUCGUGUGCCAAUAAAAAGAUCGAGCUGACCGACAUAGUUUCGGUCAGCUUGUGGUGAUCCUAA